UCCGGAGGGGGCUAUCGUUGUUCGGAAUUACUGGGCGUAAAGCGCACGUAGGCGGACUGGAAAGUCAGGGGUGAAAUCCCGGGGCUCAACCCCGGAACUGCCUGUGAAACUCCCAGUCUUGAGGUCGAGAGAGGUGAGUGGAAUUCCGAGUGUAGAGGUGAAAUUCGUAGAUAUUCGGAGGAACACCAGUGGCGAAGGCGGCUCACUGGCUCGAUACUGACGCUGAGGUGCGAAAGCGUGGGGAGCAAACAGG
Molecule: ribosomal RNA, 253 nt
Filed under: uncultured bacterium
Lineage: Bacteria
Description: partial 16S ribosomal RNA
Rfam family: Bacterial small subunit ribosomal RNA
Source: RNAcentral